GUUAAAAGGAUCAUUCGGUAUGUUAAAGGAACAAGCGAGUAUGGCCUCUGGUAUUGUAACAUACCAGAUUUUGGUAUAAAAAUAAAAAUAAAUAAAAAUAGUGUGAGAAACUAUUUUUAUUGGAUUUAUAGAAGUAAAACAUAAGUCAGAAGUGACUUGUGCUGAAAUCGGAAUGAAAACAGAAGAUCUAAAAUUUUCUGUUGGAAACGGGACAGAUAAAUUAGUAGAAAAUGCACAGUCUCAGAAAAUUAUGAAAAUUGGAGGAUAAGUCAGAAAUAUUUUUAUGAGACUAGAUUUAAAGUUUCAAAUUUUUCUGACACUCGUAGAGUGAGAAAUAAAAUCUGACAGCUAUCUGAUAAAGAUUACAGUUCGGCACAAUUUUCGGUGACCAAAUGGGGUCGAAACUGAAAACUUAAAAUAUAUUCUUACUCAGUACGUUAAACUGAGUCUGUCUGUCAAAUUUGAGCUCAAACGGACAUUCAGAAGGGCUCCAACUGUUCUGAACUACAAAAACUGCCUGAAGUGAAUAGUGUUUUGGUGUUGACUUGAGAGG
Molecule: long non-coding RNA, 553 nt
Filed under: Ananas comosus (pineapple)
Lineage: Eukaryota; Viridiplantae; Streptophyta; Magnoliopsida; Poales; Bromeliaceae
Description: long non-coding RNA (ACOM_LNC042669)
Source: RNAcentral